Molecule: ribosomal RNA, 482 nt
Filed under: uncultured bacterium
Lineage: Bacteria
Description: bacterial SSU rRNA
Rfam family: Bacterial small subunit ribosomal RNA
Source: RNAcentral
UUGAACGCUGGCGGAAUGCUUUACACAUGCAAGUCGAGCGGCAGCGCGGGGGCAACCCUGGCGGCGAGCGGCGAACGGGUGAGUAACAUAUCGGAACGUACCCAGUAAUGGGGGAUAACCAACCGAAAGGUUGGCUAAUACCGCAUACGCCCUGAGGGGGAAAGUGGGGGAUCGCAAGACCUCACGUUAUUGGAGCGGCCGAUAUCGGAUUAGCUAGUUGGUGGGGUAAAGGCUCACCAAGGCGACGAUCCGUAGCGGGUCUGAGAGGACGGCCCGCCACACUGGAACUGAGACACGGUCCAGACUCCUACGGGAGGCAGCAGUGGGGAAUUUUGGACAAUGGGCGCAAGCCUGAUCCAGCCAUUCCGCGUGAGUGAAGAAGGCCUUCGGGUUGUAAAGCUCUUUCGGCAGGAACGAAACGGUCUCUCCUAAUACGGGAGGCUAAUGACGGUACCUGAAGAAGAAGCACCGGCUAACUACGU